Long non-coding RNA from Lathyrus oleraceus (garden pea), 704 nucleotides. RefSeq lists it as uncharacterized. Lineage: Eukaryota; Viridiplantae; Streptophyta; Magnoliopsida; Fabales; Fabaceae. The transcript has 2 exons. The record is from RefSeq and is a predicted model, not a curated record.
CUACUGCACCACGCAUCCACCACCCUUCACAACUCCGACCACCUUGCACGCCAUCCCGUCACCGUCGAACCACCACACAAAUUGUGUCUCCAAAACCUUUCAUCUCCCUCCGCCGGAAACCCAUCAUCCUACAUCUCAUAAACCUCCAAAUCUUUCCGCUCCGUCUCCACCUCCACAAGACCUCCGUCAAUUUCACAGCAACACCAACUCUCCCACAAGCUCACAAUAACCUUUGCCAUCUCAGAUUCGCCGUCAAAAUCCGUUUGCAGAUCCACUUCUAUAAUGCCGUGAACAACAUUGAUAACCUUCACGUCCGACAACAACUUCAAUUUGUCUUCGUCGCCGUUAAAUCCUCGCAACAAACCUUUUCUCUCUAUAACAAAACCGAUGUCAUCAGCUUGAUUGAACAUGUGAGAUAUUGAGUAGAGAUAAACAUUGAAAGAAGGCAUGGAACAAAAGAUAUAUUUUUUCUACUAGUUGUGAGCUUAGCAGAGAAGAAGAUGCCGUCGUGACCACCGUCGGUGUUGAAUACUUUUGAAGUUGAACACUGUAAGCCAAUACGAGAUUGCUUUGAAAUCCCCCUGCUAAAUGACGACAAGGCAUUCAUCAGCUGUUGGUUAGUCUUACACUUUUAUUAUCUUCUAUUUUUUUACUUUUGAUUAUAUUUCAAUGUUGAUAUAAUAUAUUAAAAAGCUAUUCAUAUA